AGUAGCAAUACUUUGAUGGCGACCGGCGCACGGGUGAGUAACGCGUAUGCAACCUGCCCUUUACAGGGGGAUAGCCCAUGGAAACGUGGAUUAAUACCCCAUAGUACCAAUGAAAGGCAUCUUUUAUAGGUAAAAUCUGCGGAGGUAAAGGAUGGGCAUGCGUCCUAUUAGUUAGUUGGCGGGGUAACGGCCCACCAAGGCGAUGAUAGGUAGGGGUUCUGAGAGGAAGGUCCCCCACAUUGGUACUGAGACACGGACCAAACUCCUACGGGAGGCAGCAGUGAGGAAUAUUGGUCAAUGGACGCAAGUCUGAACCAGCCAUGCCGCGUGCAGGAAGACGGCUCUAUGAGUUGUAAACUGCUUUUGUACGAGGGUAAAUGCAGGUACGUGUAUCUGUUUGAAAGUAUCGUACGAAUAAGGAUCGGCUAACUCCGUGCCAGCAGCCGCGGUAAUACGGAGGAUCCAAGCGUUAUCCGGAUUUAUUGGGUUUAAAGGGUGCGUAGGCGGUUUUAUAAGUUAGAGGUGAAAUGUCGGGGCUCAACCCCGAAACUGCCUCUAAUACUGUUGGACUAGAGAAUAGUUGCGGUAGGCGGAAUGUAUGGUGUAGCGGUGAAAUGCUUAGAGAUCAUACAGAACACCGAUUGCGAAGGCAGCUUACCAAACUAUAUCUGACGUUGAGGCACGAAAGCGUGGGUAGCAAACAGGAUUAGAUACCCUGGUAGUCCACGCAGUAAACGAUGAUAACUCGUUGUCGGCGAUACAGUGUCGGUGACUAAGCGAAAGCGAUAAG
Molecule: ribosomal RNA, 790 nt
Filed under: uncultured bacterium
Lineage: Bacteria
Description: bacterial SSU rRNA
Rfam family: Bacterial small subunit ribosomal RNA
Source: RNAcentral